This 287-nucleotide ribosomal RNA is filed under the name uncultured bacterium. RNAcentral's name for it is "partial 16S ribosomal RNA". It matches the Rfam family "Bacterial small subunit ribosomal RNA", at positions 773 to 1060 of the family's 1533-position model. The record is from RNAcentral.
GUGGAUUAGAUACCCUGGUAGUCCAUGCCGUAAACGGUGGGCACUAGGUGUGGGUUCCAACUAACGGGAUCCGCGCCGUCGCUAACGCAUUAAGUGCCCCGCCUGGGGAGUACGGUCGCAAGACUAAAACUCAAAGGAAUUGACGGGGGCCCGCACAAGCAGCGGAGCGUGUUGCUUAAUUCGAUGCUACGCGAAGAACCUUACCUGGGUUUGACAUGUUUGGAAAAGCCACAGAGAUGUGGUGGCCGCAAGGGCCAAACACAGGUGGUGCACGGCUGUCGACAGCU